This 253-nucleotide ribosomal RNA is filed under the name uncultured bacterium. RNAcentral describes it as "partial 16S ribosomal RNA". It matches the Rfam family "Bacterial small subunit ribosomal RNA", at positions 524 to 776 of the family's 1533-position model. The record is from RNAcentral.
UACGUAGGGGGCUAGCGUUGUCCGGAAUCAUUGGGCGUAAAGAGCGUGUAGGCGGCCCGGUAAGUCCGCUGUAAAAGUCAAGGGCUCAACCUUUGAAUGUCAGUGGAUACUGCCGGGCUAGAGUCCGGAAGAGGCGAGUGGAACUCCUGGUGUAGCGGUGGAAUGCGCAGAUAUCAGGAAGAACACCAACGGCGAAGGCAGCUCGCUGGGAAGAUACUGACGCUGAGGUGCGAAAGCGUGGGGAGCAAACAGG